CCUACGGGUGGCAGCAGUGAGGAAUAUUGGUCAAUGGUCGGGAGACUGAACCAGCCAAGCCGCGUGAGGGAUGAAGGUACAGAGUAUCGUAAACCUCUUUUGUCAGGGAACAAAGGCGGGUACGCGUCCCCGGAUGAGUGUACCUGAAGAAAAAGCAUCGGCUAACUCCGUGCCAGCAGCCGCGGUAAUACGGAGGAUGCGCGCGUUAUCCGGAUUUCUUGGGGUUAAAGGGUGCGCAGGGGGCCGGUUAAGUAAGCGGUCAGAACCCGGGGCUCAACCCCGGCCCGCCGUUGAAACUGGCAGUCUCGAGUUGGAGAGAAGUAUGCGGAAUGCGCGGUGUAGCGGUGAAAUGCAUAGAUAUCGCGCAGAACUCCGAUUGCGAAGGCAGCAUGCCGGCUCCACACUGACGCUGAGGCACGAAAGCGUGGGUAUCGAACAGGAUUAGAUACCCGGGUAGUC
Molecule: ribosomal RNA, 459 nt
Filed under: uncultured bacterium
Lineage: Bacteria
Description: partial 16S ribosomal RNA
Rfam family: Bacterial small subunit ribosomal RNA
Source: RNAcentral